Molecule: ribosomal RNA, 465 nt
Filed under: uncultured bacterium
Lineage: Bacteria
Description: partial 16S ribosomal RNA
Rfam family: Bacterial small subunit ribosomal RNA
Source: RNAcentral
GACGAACGCUGGCGGCGUGCUUAACACAUGCAAGUCGAACGGAAAGGCCCUGCUUGCAGGGUACUCGAGUGGCGAACGGGUGAGUAACACGUGGGUGAUCUGCCCUGCACUUCGGGAUAAGCCUGGGAAACUGGGUCUAAUACCGGAUAGGAGCCAUUUUUAGUGUGAUGGUUGGAAAGUUUUUUCGGUGUAGGAUGAGCUCACGGCCUAUCAGCUUGUUGGUGGGGUAAUGGCCUACCAAGGCGGCGACGGGUAGCCGGCCUGUGAGGGUGGACGGCCACAUUGGGACUGAGGUACGGCCCAGACUCCUACGGGAGGCAGCAGGGGGGAAUAUUGCACAAGGGGCGCAAGCCUGAUGCAGCGACGCCGCGUGGGGGAUGACGGCCUUCGGGUUGUAAACACCUUUCGCUAGGGACGAAGCUUGUUGUGACGGUACCUAGAUAAGAAGCACCGGCUAACUACGUG